GAUGAACGCUGGCGGCGUGCUUAACACAUGCAAGUCGAACGAGAAGUGAAGACGGAACCCUUCGGGCGGAAGGCUUUAUUUCGAGUGGCGGACGGGUGAGUAACGCGUGGGUAACCUGCCUCAUACAGGGGGAUAACAGUUGGAAACGACUGUUAAUACCGCAUAAGACCACAGCACCGCAUGGUGCGGGGGUAAAAACUCCGGUGGUAUGAGAUGGACCCGCGUUCGAUUAGCCAGUUGGCGGGGUAACGGCCCACCAAAGCGACGAUCGAUAGCCGAUCUGAGAGGAUGACCGGCCACAUUGGGACUGAGACACGGCCCAAACUCCUACGGGAGGCAGCAGUGGGGAAUAUUGCAUAAUGGGGGAAACCCUGAUGCAGCGACGCCGCGUGAGUGAAGAAGUAUUUCGGUAUGUAAAGCUCUAUCAGCAGGGAAGAAAAUGACGGUACCUGAGGAAGAAGCCCCGGCUAACUACGUG
RNAcentral lists this ribosomal RNA (478 nucleotides) under uncultured bacterium. RNAcentral describes it as "partial 16S ribosomal RNA". It matches the Rfam family "Bacterial small subunit ribosomal RNA", at positions 28 to 507 of the family's 1533-position model. The record is from RNAcentral.